UCGAGCGAGUCUGCCUUGAAGAUCGGAGUGCUUGCACUCUGUGAAACAAGAUACAGGCUAGCGGCGGACGGGUGAGUAACACGUGGGUAACCUGCCCAAGAGAUCGGGAUAACACCUGGAAACAGAUGCUAAUACCGGAUAACAACAGAUGAUGCCUAUCAACUGUUUAAAAGAUGGUUCUGCUAUUACUCUUGGAUGGACCUGCGGUGCAUUAGCUAGUUGGUAGGGUAACGGCCUACCAAGGCGAUGAUGCAUAGCCGAGUUGAGAGACUGAUCGGCCACAUUGGGACUGAGACACGGCCCAAACUCCUACGGGAGGCAGCAGUAGGGAAUCUUCCACAAUGGACGCAAGUCUGAUGGAGCAACGCCGCGUGAGUGAAGAAGGGCUUCGGCUCGUAAAGCUCUGUUGUUGGUGAAGAAGGACAGGGGUAGUAACUGACCUUUGUUUGACGGUAAUCAAUUAGAAAGUCACGGCUAACUACGUGCCAGCAGCCGCGGUAAUACGUAGGUGGCAAGCGUUGUCCGGAUUUAUUGGGCGUAAAGCGAGUGCAGGCGGCUCGAUAAGUCUGAUGUGAAAGCCUUCGGCUCAACCGGAGAAUUGCAUCAGAAACUGUCGAGCUUGAGUACAGAAGAGGAGAGUGGAACUCCAUGUGUAGCGGUGAAAUGCGUAGAUAUAUGGAAGAACACCGGUGGCGAAGGCGGCUCUCUGGUCUGUUACUGACGCUGAGGCUCGAAAGCAUGGGUAGCGAACAGGAUUAGAUACCCUGGUAGUCCAUGCCGUAAACGAUGAGUGCUAAGUGUUGGGAGGUUUCCGCCUCUCAGUGCUGCAGCUAAC
Molecule: ribosomal RNA, 835 nt
Filed under: uncultured bacterium
Lineage: Bacteria
Description: bacterial SSU rRNA
Rfam family: Bacterial small subunit ribosomal RNA
Source: RNAcentral